RNAcentral lists this non-coding RNA (26 nucleotides) under Mus musculus (house mouse). Lineage: Eukaryota; Metazoa; Chordata; Mammalia; Rodentia; Muridae. The record is from RNAcentral.
UGCAAACUGUUGAGUGUUCCUGUUUG